UGGGAAACAGGUUAAUAUUCCUGUACUUGGUGUUACUGCGAAGGGGGGACGGAGAAGGCUAUGUUGGCCGGGCGACGGUUGUCCCGGUUUAAGCGUGUAGGCUGGUUUUCCAGGCAAAUCCGGAAAACCAAGGCUGAGGCGUGAUGACGAGGCACUACGGUGCUGAAGCGACAAAUGCCCUGCUUCCAGGAAAAGCCUCUAAGCAUCAGGUAACAUCAAAUCGUACCCCAAACCGACACAGGUGGUCAGGUAGAGAAUACCAAGGCGCUUGAGAGAACUCGGGUGAAGGAACUAGG
Molecule: ribosomal RNA, 296 nt
Filed under: Escherichia coli
Lineage: Bacteria; Pseudomonadati; Pseudomonadota; Gammaproteobacteria; Enterobacterales; Enterobacteriaceae
Description: partial 23S ribosomal RNA
Rfam family: Bacterial large subunit ribosomal RNA
Source: RNAcentral